RNAcentral lists this ribosomal RNA (654 nucleotides) under Paucilactobacillus suebicus. Its description in RNAcentral is "bacterial SSU rRNA". It matches the Rfam family "Bacterial small subunit ribosomal RNA", at positions 60 to 669 of the family's 1533-position model. The record is from RNAcentral. Lineage: Bacteria; Bacillati; Bacillota; Bacilli; Lactobacillales; Lactobacillaceae.
AGUCGUACGCAUUCUCGUUUCUGAUUGACGGUGCUUGCACCUAAUUGACGAGACAUUGGAAUGAGUGGCGGACGGGUGAGUAACACGUGGGUAACCUGCCCAGAAGUGGGGGAUAACAUUUGGAAACAGAUGCUAAUACCGCAUAAAAGUCAAAACCACAUGGUUUUGAUUUAAAAGAUGGCCUUUGUGCUAUCACUUCUGGAUGGACCCGCGGCGUAUUAGCUAGUUGGUAAGGUAACGGCUUACCAAGGCAAUGAUACGUAGCCGAACUGAGAGGUUGAUCGGCCACAAUGGGACUGAGACACGGCCCAUACUCCUACGGGAGGCAGCAGUAGGGAAUCUUCCACAAUGGGCGCAAGCCUGAUGGAGCAACACCGCGUGAGUGAAGAAGGGUUUCGGCUCGUAAAACUCUGUUGUUAAAGAAGAACGUAUCUAAGAGUAACUGCUUAGGUAGUGACGGUAUUUAACCAGAAAGCCACGGCUAACUACGUGCCAGCAGCCGCGGUAAUACGUAGGUGGCAAGCGUUAUCCGGAUUUAUUGGGCGUAAAGCGAGCGCAGGCGGUUUUUUAAGUCUGAUGUGAAAGCCUUCGGCUUAACCGAAGAAGUGCAUCGGAAACUGGGAGACUUGAGUGCAGAAGAGGACAGUGGAACUC